This is a long non-coding RNA of Rhincodon typus (whale shark), 932 nucleotides long. RefSeq lists it as uncharacterized. Lineage: Eukaryota; Metazoa; Chordata; Chondrichthyes; Orectolobiformes; Rhincodontidae. The record is from RefSeq and is a predicted model, not a curated record. The transcript is spliced from 6 exons.
UAUCACCAGCAUUGACAACAUUAACUGCACCGAUAGAGUCAACAACAGUGACUGCUCCAACGAAGUCAGUUUCAUGCUGUAAUCGAACAUCUUCCAGCUCUCCAGUCAUUGCAGACACCACAGGACUGGGACUCUUAGCUACAGCAUGGACAGCAGUAAGGCCUUCAGCUCCAAGUUCCUCGACAACUGAAACAGAAUUUCGAGCAGCAGUACUCUCUGACAGCACUCAGAAAGCAACAGCUGAAACAACAGUCACUUACAGUACUGAUGGGACCACAGGAACAGAACCAAUAACAACCAAGACAGCACUGGCAGAAAGGACAGUAAAUCCCUCUACAGCAUCAGAAACAGCUUCUGACGUUACUGGCUCUAUUGGCACCACAGAAUUCAAUCAAACGGCAACUGCUGACAGAAACAUUGGACUAAUUGUCGGUACCAGUACAAGCAUCUUGUUUAUCAGCGCACUGUGUGCAUUAUUCUUACUUUGGAUAUUUGCUUACAAAAAGAAAAUUGGCUGCAUAAGAUCACAAGAAUAUGACACACCAGUGUUACCGUUCAAGGUACAAACAGUGACAAGUGCCAAUGAAGCUGUGCCUUUACAGCAGGAAACGGAAAGGUGAUCCUUAUCACUCAUUACACAGGGUAAAUGUUAUCCACCGCUAGCAUGAGGAAGUGUUGAAACAAGUACAACAUGGAGCAAAGAAUGAACAUGUCAAGAGAUGUUUGUUCACUAAACUGAGCCAUUCCUUUCUUUUAUUAUCUCUGUUGAUUACGUGCCUGUUUCUGAACCACUUAGAUCCACUCCAUCCCCUUCAAUGUGGACCAUAACAACAACGUCUUUUUCCCAGGGUAGGAGAGUCCAAAACUAGAGGUUAUAGGUGUAAGAGGAGAAAGAUAUAAAAGGGACCCAAGAGGCAAAGUUUUCACGCAGA